CUAUCUCGUGGUCAAUGCUGAUGAAAGUGAACCUGGAACUUGCAAAGACAGGGAAAUUAUGCGCCAUGAUCCACACAAGCUGUUAGAGGGCUGCUUAAUUGCUGGGGUGGGAAUGAGAGCCUCUGCUGCUUAUAUCUACAUUAGGGGUGAAUAUGUGAAUGAACGUAAAAACCUGGAAAGAGCACGAAAGGAAGCUUAUGAAGCUGGGUUUUUGGGCAAGAAUGCAUGUGGAUCAGGCUAUGAUUUUGAUGUUCAUAUCCACUAUGGUGCUGGUGCUUAUAUUUGUGGUGAAGAGACUGCUCUUUUAGAAAGCCUAGAAGGAAAACAAGGGAAACCAAGGCUGAAGCCUCCCUUCCCAGCCAAUGCAGGGUUAUAUGGCUGCCCCACAACUGUUACAAAUGUGGAAACAGUGGCGGUGUCUCCCACCAUUUUGAGGCGUGGACCAGAAUGGUUUGCUAGUUUUGGUAGGAAGAACAAUUCUGGGACAAAAUUGUUUUGUGUGUCAGGUCAUGUGAAUAAGCCUUGCACAGUUGAAGAGGAGAUGAGUAUUCCUCUAAAAGAGUUAAUAGAUAGGCACUGUGGAGGUGUUCGAGGUGGAUGGGAUAAUCUACUUGCAAUAAUACCAGGGGGUUCUUCUGUCCCAUUGAUUCCCAAGCACAUAUGUGAUGAUGUGCUAAUGGAUUAUGAUGCACUUAAGGCUGUCCAGUCAGGGCUGGGGACUGCAGCCGUGAUUGUGAUGGAUAAAUCUACUGAUGUUGUGGAUGCAAUUGCAAGGUUGUCAUACUUCUACAAGCAUGAAAGCUGUGGGCAGUGCACUCCUUGCAGGGAGGGGACAGGGUGGCUUUGGAUGAUCAUGGAAAGGUUGAAGGUUGGGAAUGCAAAGUUGGAAGAGAUAGAUAUGCUUCAAGAGGUGACAAAACAAAUUGAAGGUCACACUAUCUGUGCAUUGGGUGAUGCUGCAGCUUGGCCUGUGCAGGGCCUCAUCAGGCAUUUUAGACCAGAGCUUGAAAGAAGGAUUAAGGAGCGUGCAGAGAGGGAGUUGCUGGAGGCUGCUGCAUAAGGUUUUCUAUACGGGAAAUGAUGCCAAUGAUGGACCUUGUGGAAUAAAUGAACUACCGUUUAGUUUGGUGGUUAGUUGACUCUGGCCUCAAGCAGUCGUAUUAGAUCUCUUUUU
RNAcentral lists this unclassified non-coding RNA (1174 nucleotides) under Hevea brasiliensis (rubber tree). Lineage: Eukaryota; Viridiplantae; Streptophyta; Magnoliopsida; Malpighiales; Euphorbiaceae. The record is from RNAcentral.